UGUCUUCAGUCGUGGGAUCUGACUAUUGU
This 29-nucleotide non-coding RNA is filed under the name Rattus norvegicus (Norway rat). Lineage: Eukaryota; Metazoa; Chordata; Mammalia; Rodentia; Muridae. The record is from RNAcentral.